UACGUAGGGUGCAAGCGUUAAUCGGAAUUACUGGGCGUAAAGCGUGCGCAGGCGGCUUUGUAAGACAGAUGUGAAAUGCCCGGGCUUAACCUGGGAACUGCAUUUGUGACUGCAAGGCUAGAGUUUGGCAGAGGGGGGUAGAAUUCCACGUGUAGCAGUGAAAUGCGUAGAUAUGUGGAGGAACACCGAUGGCGAAGGCAGCCCCCUGGGUCAAGACUGACGCUCAUGCACGAAAGCGUGGGGAGCAAACAGG
Molecule: ribosomal RNA, 253 nt
Filed under: uncultured bacterium
Lineage: Bacteria
Description: partial 16S ribosomal RNA
Rfam family: Bacterial small subunit ribosomal RNA
Source: RNAcentral